RNAcentral lists this ribosomal RNA (423 nucleotides) under uncultured bacterium. Its description in RNAcentral is "bacterial SSU rRNA". It matches the Rfam family "Bacterial small subunit ribosomal RNA", at positions 207 to 622 of the family's 1533-position model. The record is from RNAcentral.
AAGACCUUGCGCUUUUGGAGCGGCCGAUGCCUGAUUAGCUUGUUGGUAAGGUAAAAGCUAACCAAGGCUUCGAUCAGUAGCUGGUCUGAGAGGACGACCAGCCACACUGGGACUGAGACACGGCCCAGACUCCUACGGGAGGCAGCAGUGGGGAAUUUUGGACAAUGGGGGCAACCCUGAUCCAGCCAUGCCGCGUGAGUGAAGAAGGCCUUCGGGUUGUAAAGCUCUUUCAGCCGGAACGAAACGGUUACGGAUAACACCCGUGACUACUGACGGUACCGGAAGAAGAAGCACCGGCUAACUACGUGCCAGCAGCCGCGGUAAUACGUAGGGUGCGAGCGUUAAUCGGAAUUACUGGGCGUAAAGCGUGCGCAGGUGGUUUUGUAAGUCAGAUGUGAAAGCCCCGGGCUCAACCUGGGAACU